CUUCACUGGGCCACGUCUCGGAGUAACCCAAGGAAGCUUGGAAACAACACGGGGAUUAAGGACUUGCUGUUGCCCCACUGGGAUCAGCAAGACUUAUGGCAUUGGUUGUCACUGUUGUCACCAGCUCUCAGCAUGCUCAGCCGUCUGGGACGUGAGUGCACAUGUUCCCGUUCUGCCUAGAAUGGACCAAGUGCCAAUGCCAUUUCUCCUUGGAAAUGAUUCUCCUGAGGAAUCCCACCAACUGCAGUGGUGUUUCAUGGCUGAGAGUUUGCACCUCAAAGCUACUAUUGGAGAGAGGCUUCAUUAUGUGUGUGCUUUCCUGUGGGCCUGGCAGGAAAACAGAGACCAAAAGAAAGGAAAAUAAAAAAACCUCUAACCCUGAUGCUGGAAACAUCUGGAUUUUUAUAUGCGUUUAGCAUCUCAGGAGAGUUUGUUUUUGUUUGUCCUCCUUGCCAAUAAAGUCAAUGCUUUUCACUGAAAUAUAUGGGAA
This 490-nucleotide long non-coding RNA is filed under the name Parus major (Great Tit). RNAcentral's name for it is "lncRNA (ENSPMJG00000003024.1)". The record is from RNAcentral. Lineage: Eukaryota; Metazoa; Chordata; Aves; Passeriformes; Paridae.